This 627-nucleotide long non-coding RNA is filed under the name Mytilus galloprovincialis (Mediterranean mussel). Lineage: Eukaryota; Metazoa; Mollusca; Bivalvia; Mytilida; Mytilidae. The record is from RNAcentral.
CUCUGGCUGUUUAUGACGUCUUUACACUAAAUCCAUUGGAUGUUGGAUGUGUACGGAUUGAUAGUUUAGUCUUAGUUGCAUGAUGUUUUUAUUAGUUGUUAGUGACUUUGAACUAGCUGUCAGAUAACUGCGAGUACUCUCAGAUCUGUUCAUUGUGUCUUUUUGUAUCGGAAUGUAUAAGUACCGGGCCACGUCCACUUGUAUUUUUGUCCAUCUGAUGAGUUAAGCCUUUUUCAACUGAUUUUUAUAGUUCGUUCUUAUGUUGUACUGUUAUACCACUGUCACAGGUUAGGGGGAGGGUUGGGAUCCCGCUAAUAUGUUUAACCCCGCCACAUUAUUUAUGUAUGUGCCUGUCCCAAGUCAGGAGCCUGUAAUUCAGUGGUUGUCGUUUGUUUAUGUGUUACAUAUUUGUUUUUCGUUCAUUUUUUUUUACAUAAAUAAGGCCGUUAGUUUUCUCGUUUGAAUUGUUUUACAUUGUCUUAUCGGGGCCUUUUAUAGCUGACUAUGCGGUAUAAGCUUUGCUCAUUGUUGAAGGCCGUACGGUGACCUAUAGUUGUUAAUGUCUGUGUCAUUUUGGUCUUUUGUGGAUAGUUUCCUCAUUGGCAAUCAUACCACAUCUUCUUUUUA